RNAcentral lists this ribosomal RNA (630 nucleotides) under Streptomyces sp. I08A-00440. Its description in RNAcentral is "bacterial SSU rRNA". It matches the Rfam family "Bacterial small subunit ribosomal RNA", at positions 56 to 704 of the family's 1533-position model. The record is from RNAcentral. Lineage: Bacteria; Bacillati; Actinomycetota; Actinomycetes; Kitasatosporales; Streptomycetaceae.
UGCAGUCGAACGAUGAACCACUUCGGUGGGGAUUAGUGGCGAACGGGUGAGUAACACGUGGGCAAUCUGCCCUUCACUCUGGGACAAGCCCUGGAAACGGGGUCUAAUACCGGAUAACACUUCCACUCUCCUGAGUGGAGGUUAAAAGCUCCGGCGGUGAAGGAUGAGCCCGCGGCCUAUCAGCUUGUUGGUGAGGUAAUGGCUCACCAAGGCGACGACGGGUAGCCGGCCUGAGAGGGCGACCGGCCACACUGGGACUGAGACACGGCCCAGACUCCUACGGGAGGCAGCAGUGGGGAAUAUUGCACAAUGGGCGCAAGCCUGAUGCAGCGACGCCGCGUGGGGGAUGACGGCCUUCGGGUUGUAAACCCCUUUCAGCAGGGAAGAAGCGCAAGUGACGGUACCUGCAGAAGAAGCGCCGGCUAACUACGUGCCAGCAGCCGCGGUAAUACGUAGGGCGCAAGCGUUGUCCGGAAUUAUUGGGCGUAAAGAGCUCGUAGGCGGCUUGUCACGUCGGGUGUGAAAGCCCGGGGCUUAACCCCGGGUCUGCAUUCGAUACGGGCUAGCUAGAGUGUGGUAGGGGAGAUCGGAAUUCCUGGUGUAGCGGUGAAAUGCGCAGAUAUCAGGAGG